GUUUCCUUUCCUUGCCUUGCCUCGAAUUGCCUUGCUUUGCCGUCUCUUGCCUGGAAUUGCCUUGUCUUGCCUUGCCUGGAGUUGCCUUGCCUUGCCUUGCCUGAAGUUACCUUGCCUGGAAUUGCAUUCCCUUGCCUUGCCUGGAAUUGCCUUCCCUGGAAUUGCCUUGCUUUGCCUGAAAUUGACUUGCCUGGAUUGGUCUUGCCUUGCCUUGCCUUGCUGGAAUUUCCUUGCCUGGAAUUUUUUGCCUUGCCUUACCUUGCAUUGACUGGAAUUGCCUUGCCUUGCCUUGCCUUGCCUGGAAUUUCCUUGCCUGGAAUUGCCUUGCUUUGCCUUGCCUUGCCUGGAGUUACCUUUCCUGGAAUUACCUUGCCUUGCCUUACGUGGAAUUGCCUUGCCUCGAAUUUCCUUUCCUGGAAUUGCCUUUCCCGGAAUUGCCUUGAUUGCCUUCCCUUGCCUUGCCUUGCCUGGAAUUGCCUUGUGUUGCCUUGCCUUGCCUUGCAUUGCUUGGAAUUGCAUUGCCUGGAAUUUCCUAGCCUGAAAUUGCCUUGCCUUGCCUUGCCUUGCCUGGAAUUGCCUAGCCUGGAAUUGCAUUGCCUUGCCUGGCAUUGCCUUCUCUUGCCUUGCCUUGCCUUGCCUUGUUUGGGAUUGCCUUCCCUGGAAUUGUUUUGUCUUGCCUUGUCUUGCCUUGCCUGGAAUUGCCUGGAGUGGAGGAGAAUGGCUCCAGUGUCAGACUCCCCAACAUGCUGCGUGCUCAGCAGGUUCUGCCCUUGGACAUCCAGGGAACACUCACCUUCCCCACCGUGGGAGAGGUCGCCAGACAGAACUGCACUGGGUGUUGGUGUCAUCCAGGACCCCAUACACUUUCCUGAGUGUGAUCCUGCUUCCCUCCUCUGGGCAGCUGCAUCCUUUUCUCCUGCAGGAUUUUCUGGAAAAUCGGCUCUGGGUUUCGUCUCCCUUCUCCCCUCUCCUUGCCCCAACCUCCUUUUUCCGAAAAAAUGA
This 1002-nucleotide long non-coding RNA is filed under the name Callithrix jacchus (white-tufted-ear marmoset). RNAcentral describes it as "lncRNA (ENSCJAG00000071053.1)". Lineage: Eukaryota; Metazoa; Chordata; Mammalia; Primates; Cebidae. The record is from RNAcentral.